This 447-nucleotide ribosomal RNA is filed under the name Lethe chandica (angled red forester). Its description in RNAcentral is "partial 16S ribosomal RNA". Lineage: Eukaryota; Metazoa; Arthropoda; Insecta; Lepidoptera; Nymphalidae. The record is from RNAcentral.
AAUAUUAAAGGGCUGCAGUAUAUUGACUGUACAAAGGUAGCAUAAUCAUUAGUUUUUUAAUUGAAAACUUGUAUGAAAGAUUUGAUGAAAUAUAAACUGUCUCUUAAUUAUUAUUGUUAAAAAUUUAUUUUUUAGUUAAAAAGCUAAAAUAAUUUUAAAAGACGAGAAGACCCUAUAGAGUUUUAUAUUUUAUUUUAUAUUAAAAUUAUAUAAAAAUUAAAAUUAAUAUUAAAUAAAAUAUUGUAUUGGGGUGAUAGAAAAAUUAAAAUAACUUUUUUUAAAAAUUAACCAUUAAUAAAUGAAUAAAUGAUCCAUUUUUAAUGAUUAAAAGAAAAAAUUACCUUAGGGAUAACAGCGUAAUAUUUUUUUUUAGUUCAAAUAAGAAAAAAACUUUGCGACCUCGAUGUUGGAUUAAAAUAAAAUUAAAAUGCAAAUGUUUAAAAUUUU